Cinclus cinclus is the source of this 2521-nucleotide long non-coding RNA. RefSeq lists it as uncharacterized. The record is from RefSeq and is a predicted model, not a curated record. Lineage: Eukaryota; Metazoa; Chordata; Aves; Passeriformes; Cinclidae. The transcript is spliced from 2 exons.
GGCCCUGCCACGGCGCGUUUGCUCCUGGCUGCAGUCGUACCGCACUAAGCGCCAGGGAAAACCGAGGUGUUCAAAAACACGGAAGAAGUUGAGUAGCUCUUAUUCGGACUUCUAAUGUAGAGUUGGCUUAAAAUUUUGAAUCUAUGCAUGCUGUUUUCUCAAACAUAUGUUGGUGAGGCAUUAAAAAAAAGGUCCGUUAAAUAUAUUUGGGGAACGCACCUUUAGGUAUGUUUAUAGACAACGUAUAUAUUUACCAUGUUGUUACGAAUCCCAAAAUUCAACAGAGGACAAAACCCAGGGCAGAAUCGAAAUUCUGUGAGAAACUGAAUUUCUGUAAGUUUUAUGUCUCCUGUGGAUUUACUGCAUUUAUGGGGUUUUGCAGCAUUUAUAUUGGCUUAUAUUGGGUGGGUCUACCCUACAAGCACCCCCCCUACUCCCCAGCCCUCCCUAAGUGAUUAAUGAGUACCGAGGCCUUGACUGCUGUGUUUGUUUCCUCCAGAUAUUCUUAAAGCACUCAGACAUCCUCCGGCAUUCAGGUUUAGUAAAAAGCCUUGAGCUGUGGGAGCCAUCUGACUUGAGAAACGAUGGAGGGGGCUGGCACAAAGCUGCUGAUACUUCUCCUGCCAGACUGACUCAGAUGAUGUUCUCCGGAGGCCAGAAGAGACGAGCUGGAGCACAGGAAGAUGUCUGCGUCAGCCGUGGCUCGUAUCUGUGUCUGUGCCCUGCAUGCCAGCACACUGGUAGCCACAGGCACUGGGGUCCCCUUUGUGGGGAGCUGUGCAGCAUUUUCUGUAAGAAAACCAGGGAUGCUCUCAAGCUGCAAAGAGAAGGCUACAGCUGCAGCACGCACUUGUCCCUGUUGCUAAGGUAACACAUAUCACACCCACACUGGCCUAGAAGCAAAACAGCACGCAUGGGAAAUUUCAUAGGGCCGGGAGCCUCGCGUGGGAGAGCACUGCUCUCUCAGGUGCUGCUGCCUCCUGCACUACUGAGCCAGGUCUCACAAAUCCCUCACAGAUAACUCUUUGCGUGCAGUUUCCCUGAUUGUGCUGGAGGUUGCUGUGCCAUCCAUCUAGGUGUGCACCUGAAAUACGUUGUCUUGUAAUGAUCUGCCUUCUUUGCUGAGAAAUACCUGUAAUGCCUCUGCUUGCUGAUGGUUUCGGGCAGCAGGACUGUGCAGCACAAGGCAGUUGGAUGCCCACUGAAACAAAGGGUGGGCAGCUCUGCUUUCCGUUCUGAACCAGGAACACAGAGCAACCUCUGCUGUAAUACAGGAGCUGCAUGUUUUUAACCACUUUUUAACAUCAUUCUUGUUUUGCCCAGCAGUGCAUGCUGUAGAAGCUCACAGAGAAACACAUCUCAGCAGCUGUGAAAAGCACAUCUCCAAUGCUGACUUGCAUUUAAGUUCAAGUGCUCCAAAAGUGAGAGGUCAUAUAUGUUGAAAACUGCUUGAGUCUCUCAUUUAUGACUUCCAAGGCACAUGGAAGUGUCUUCUUCUGGUCUUUAAAUUAGGCAACUUAUUUUACUACCACUGCUAGGCAGGGAUCUGCCAUUUUAUACUGGCUUACAGCUCUUUGGAAUACCAUUGAUCACUCUCUGGGGUCAGCAAGCUGUGACGGGCACGAGUCACAUACAAAAGCCAAUGAACAGGAGGCAGCGACUGCUGUGGCUGGCAGGAAACUGCUGUAGAGUGACAUAAAAGCCUGAAUGCCUAAAGCAAAGGGUGUCAGUAGCUGUGAUUUGUCAAACCAACUGUGAGGGCUGUCUCCCUUGGCAAGAAAUGCAGUGGCCAGGCCUCUGUCUGUGUUCCUGGACUCACUCACCACAGGUACCCUACCCUAACACAGAAACCCCCCAUACCCAGACCUCACAAGGCAGCAACGUGAUACCUUGUUCUCCCUCAGGCACCACAAAGGAUUCACAGAGGAGCCUUUUAUCCCUUUCGCUUCUGAUCUGGAAACCUAAGCAUGCUGAGGUUAAAUGAACUGACUAAGGUUGCAUAAUUAGCCAGUGGCAGAGCUGAGAAUAGACACCAUCUCCAUUUUUCCAGGCCUAACAUCUAACUCUCAGGCCCUUCUUGGGGGCAUAGGCAGGGCUAGCAAAACUGUAUAUCACCACUAUAGAAUAUGACAUUUUUAGAACAGGCUCAACCCUGAACUUACUACAGUUAAAAAGAAAGAAGAAAAAAAAGUAAACAAAACUAAACCAAACAAAAACAUGGGAAAAAGAAUUUUAAAAAUGAAAAGCAACAGUAUUUUCUUUUUAAGAGUGUUCUUGCCUGGGUAAGAAGGUAAAAAUGGAAUUCAAGUGGCAUUUAUAAAUAUUAAUGGGAUCAUAAGCACUAGCACAUUAAAUAAGUUCCCAAGGGCCAAAGACUGAAUUAACUUUGAAUAAUAGUUGCUGAAGACCUAGGCAAAAAUAAAGCAAUGCUGUGAAGAAAUGUUAUCCUUUCAUAGAUGUUUGGUAGGGCUAAAAUGCAGUUACUUGUCCUCCAUUUCAAAAUAAACUAUUUUUAUGGAAA